UGCUGAGGAGUCCCACAAUAGAACGAAACGGCCGUCCA
Molecule: non-coding RNA, 38 nt
Filed under: Schistosoma mansoni
Lineage: Eukaryota; Metazoa; Platyhelminthes; Trematoda; Strigeidida; Schistosomatidae
Also listed under: 1 other name
Source: RNAcentral